This 486-nucleotide ribosomal RNA is filed under the name uncultured bacterium. RNAcentral describes it as "partial 16S ribosomal RNA". It matches the Rfam family "Bacterial small subunit ribosomal RNA", at positions 30 to 507 of the family's 1533-position model. The record is from RNAcentral.
AUUGAACGCUGGCGGCAUGCCUUACACAUGCAAGUCGAACGGCAGCACGGGUGCUUGCACCUGGUGGCGAGUGGCGCACGGGUGAGUAAUACAUCGGAACAUGUCCUGUAGUGGGGGAUAGCCCGGCGAAAGCCGGAUUAAUACCGCAUCCGAUCUACGGAUGAAAGCGGGGGACCUUCGGGCCUCGCGCUAUAGGGAUGGCUGAUGGCUGAUUAGCUAGUUGGUGGGGUAAAGGCCUACCAAGGCGACGAUCAGUAGCUGGUCUGGGAGGACGACCAGCCACACUGGGACUGAGACACGGCCCAGACUCCUACGGGAGGCAGCAGUGGGGAAUUUUGACCACAGGGCGCAAGCCUGCUCCAGCACUGCCGCGUGUGUGAAGAAGGCCUUCGGGUUGUAAAGCACUUUUGUCCGGAAAGAAAUCCUUGGCCCUAAUACGGUCGGGGGAUGACGGUACCGGAAGAAUAAGCACCGGCUAACUACGUG